GUAGAUUACAGACAUCCACUGAGAUUGCUUGAGGAACAAUGUUUUGGGAGUUAGGGUUGUUGAUAUUUUAUCGAUACGAACUUCAAAUCACACUUUCCGAGCGAAACUAAUCGGAUUUUCGAUGAACGGAGCUAUCAUCGAAAUAACGCCGCGAAUCAUAGUAACCAUAGUAACCAUAAAUUUGUUAUGAUCGUGUUAUUGUACAAAAUUGCUGCUAAAAGGCGAAAAACGCCGAAAAUUGGUAAAAAAUAUACUGAAGCAGCUGUUAUUGAGUGUCUUCAAGCAAUAAAAAGUGGUGUUUCGACUAGAGAAGCUUACAGGCGCUACAAUUUCCCACGAUUCACCGUAAUGUUCCGUGCAAGCAGCAACUGGUCAGAAAAACCACGAAGAGGUAAACCAACUGCAUUGACUGUCGCGGAAUUAGGAUUCAAUUGUUGGCUGGAUAACUCGGAUAUCACGUAACGGAUUCCCUAUUGCGAAAGAACGGCUGCAGUCUACAGUUGCAAGAUUCAUUUCAGAAAACCCUCGUCGUUCGGACUGCAAGAUGAAAGCCGAGAGCUAGAAUGCAACGUGUGAGGUGGUUUAUUCAGGUCGACGAAGAAUUGUCCCAAGCGUGAGUCUCAGA
Wyeomyia smithii (pitcher-plant mosquito) is the source of this 625-nucleotide long non-coding RNA. RefSeq lists it as uncharacterized. The record is from RefSeq and is a predicted model, not a curated record. The transcript has 3 exons. Lineage: Eukaryota; Metazoa; Arthropoda; Insecta; Diptera; Culicidae.